GUCCAGGUAGCCUAGUGGAUAUGGCAUCUGCCCGGUAAGUGGAAAACUGUGGGUUUGAUUCCCAUCCCAGGACA
This 74-nucleotide transfer RNA is filed under the name Cordylochernes scorpioides. Its description in RNAcentral is "tRNA-Thr". It matches the Rfam family "tRNA". From Rfam's summary of the family: Transfer RNA (tRNA) molecules are approximately 80 nucleotides in length. The record is from RNAcentral. Lineage: Eukaryota; Metazoa; Arthropoda; Arachnida; Pseudoscorpiones; Chernetidae.